Molecule: ribosomal RNA, 355 nt
Filed under: uncultured Terrahaemophilus sp.
Lineage: Bacteria; Pseudomonadati; Pseudomonadota; Gammaproteobacteria; Pasteurellales; Pasteurellaceae
Description: bacterial SSU rRNA
Rfam family: Bacterial small subunit ribosomal RNA
Source: RNAcentral
UGAUCCUGGCUCAGAUUGAACGCUGGCGGCAGGCUUAACACAUGCAAGUCGAACGGUAACAUAAAGAAGCUUGCUUCCUUGAUGACGAGUGGCGGACGGGUGAGUAAUGCUUGGGAAUCUGGCUUAUGGAGGGGGAUAACGACGGGAAACUGUCGCUAAUACCGCGUAGAGUCGAGAGACGAAAGUGUGGGACCUUCGGGCCACAUGCCAUAGGAUGAGCCCAAGUGGGAUUAGGUAGUUGGUGGGGUAAGGGCCUACCAAGCCGACGAUCUCUAGCUGGUCUGAGAGGAUGGCCAGCCACACCGGGACUGAGACACGGCCCGGACUCCUACGGGAGGCAGCAGAAGGGCGAAUU